Molecule: non-coding RNA, 1454 nt
Organism: Physcomitrium patens
Lineage: Eukaryota; Viridiplantae; Streptophyta; Bryopsida; Funariales; Funariaceae
Source: RefSeq, a predicted model, not a curated record
GAGCCUUUAUGCUAGUUAGACAUGGAUCACAAAAAAAUCCUAAGCAUUGACUAUUUAAUGACAGUGUGGAGUACGUUACGUGGAGAUGGUUCGUCCGGACUGAGAGCAACUGCCUCGAUUUUGAGCUUUUUGUCCAGGUAUUCGAGGUACCCCUGCUGUUAUUUUUCUUUGUCACUUCGUAUACUGAUCAGGAGCUCGGUGAUCAGCUCUCUCGACUGAUCAAGUGACCUGAUCACGGCCACACUGUUAGUUAUGUUUUCAUGCCAUUGUGCAGUCCGCACUUUUCGUGUUGGCUCCCGAUCCAUCAACUUACUGCUCAAAUCUGUAUUUGUGUGCAUAGUGGAUGGGGGUGGGGACAGAACAUACACAGUGCCAAAAAAUGCUGAUGUUGGAGAAAAAAGACCUCUACGAAAUUGUUUAAUCCGAGGUUUCUGCAGCUGAAGCAUGGUGAGCGAAGGGUGCUUUUCAGGAGACCAAGCUCGUGCUGGUGACGUUGAUUGUUGAUGUCGGCAUCACUGCUUAUUAUUCUCCGUCUCAAUGCAAAGUUCCAUUCACAUUAUCAAUCUUUAAAGGUGAUUGUUGUCUGCGUCAUAUUGGGCUGCAUGUUGCGUUGCAGUUGAUCACAACCCUAUUUUCGCCUAUUUGUCAUAUGUGGCCUCAUGACCUUGACCUAAGCAGCUUUACUUAUGUUCCUCUAAACAGUCAGUUUCUGAACUUCCUGGGGCUCAAACAACUAAUCUUGGAGUUCAGAUUAUGUGUCGCCGAUGAAAAGACGAGGUGCUGUUCCUGGCAUCUCGUUGAUUCCAUUAAGGAUCAUGCUUGCAGGCGUUUAAGCCAGUUCCUCCUUCCCGGAAUUUUUCUUGGGAGUUCUAGACGCCUCUAUGCGGCCGCUGAGUAAGCUAACAUGAGCACGUCGCGAAGCUGCACGAAAGUCUUCACAUCGAAAAUGCGUAUACAUCUCGGUGAUCUUUGAACUCAAGAGUUUAACGCUUACCUUUUGAGGGUAGAAUCCACUUUCGUUAGCCUCACCCAUCACUGACGAAGCGAGACGGCGGUUUCUGAUCUGAAGCUGCGACGUGAGGCCCCACAAUGUGAACUGGCGUGGUAUUAGCGAUAUAGAAUGUAUGGAACAAUCAGGUCUAAGCAGAGAUGAUGUCCAGAAACAUUAAGUCACAGUGGUCGUUUCACGUUAUGGAUACUGAGUCGUGAGAUUCAACUUAACAAGAAAAUUGUUGCGUGAAGGACUAGGAAUGUGAUUUGUGAGGUGCAUCUCUCACAUCUUUUGAGGUAUAGACAAGAAUUAAACUUCUACCAAAAAUGAUUCUUAUUCUGCAGGUUUGUUGGAACAAGCCCAGAUUGAUUAGCAAGAAGAUUAGACUAGACUUGUCAACGAACAUUUUAGACUAAAUGUCGACUAAUUUUAUGAUAGGCUGAUAUGCCAUUUCCUCGUCGCA